AGACCCGAAACCCGGUGAUCUAGCCAUGGGCAGGUUGAAGGUUGGGUAACACUAACUGGAGGACCGAACCGACUAAUGUUGAAAAAUUAGCGGAUGACCUGUGGCUGGGGGUGAAAGGCCAAUCAAACCGGGAGAUAGCUGGUUCUCCCCGAAAGCUAUUUAGGUAGCGCCUCGUGAAUUCAUCUCCGGGGGUAGAGCACUGUUUCGGCUAGGGGGCCAUCCCGGCUUACCAACCCGAUGCAAACUGCGAAUACCGGAGAAUGUUAUCACGGGAGACACACGGCGGGUGCUAACGUCCGUCGUGAAGAGGGAAACAACCCAGACCGCCAGCUAAGGUCCCAAAGUCAUGGUUAAGUGGGAAACGAUGUGGGAAGGCCCAGACAGCCAGGAUGUUGGCUUAGAAGCAGCCAUCAUUUAAAGAAAGCGUAAUAGCUCACUGGUCGAGUCGGCCUGCGCGGAAGAUGUAACGGGGCUAAACCAUGCACCGAAGCUGCGGCAGCGAACGUAUCACUUAAAGCGAUUCAGCGGGUUACGAUUGACGGAGCGAAGCGACGUCAAAGCGUAUACAAAGUCGAGUCGGUUUAAGGAUACGUUCGUUGGGUAGGGGAGCGUUCUGUAAGCCUGCGAAGGUGGCCUGUGAGGGUUGCUGGAGGUAUCAGAAGUGCGAAUGCUGACAUAAGUAACGAUAAAGCGGGUGAAAAGCCCGCUCGCCGGAAGACCAAGGGU
Molecule: ribosomal RNA, 726 nt
Filed under: Salmonella enterica subsp. enterica serovar Infantis
Lineage: Bacteria; Pseudomonadati; Pseudomonadota; Gammaproteobacteria; Enterobacterales; Enterobacteriaceae
Also listed under: 1 other name
Description: partial 23S ribosomal RNA
Rfam family: Bacterial large subunit ribosomal RNA
Source: RNAcentral